CCUACGGGGCGCAGCAGUGGGGAAUAUUGCACAAUGGGGGGAACCCUGAUGCAGCGACGCCGCGUGAGCGAAGAAGUAUUUCGGUACGUAAAGCUCUAUCAGCAGGGAAGAAAAUGACGGUACCUGACUAAGAAGCCCCGGCUAACUACGUGCCAGCAGCCGCGGUAAUACGUAGGGGGCAAGCGUUAUCCGGAUUUACCGGGUGUAAAGGGAGCGUAGACGGCUGUGCAAGUCUGGAGUGAAAGGCGGGGGCCCAACCCCCGGACUGCUCUGGAAACUGUAUGGCUGGAGUGCAGGAGAGGUAA
This 305-nucleotide ribosomal RNA is filed under the name uncultured bacterium. Its description in RNAcentral is "bacterial SSU rRNA". It matches the Rfam family "Bacterial small subunit ribosomal RNA", at positions 338 to 660 of the family's 1533-position model. The record is from RNAcentral.